UGGGGAAUUUUGGACAAUGGGCGAAAGCCUGAUCCAGCAAUGCCGCGUGUGUGAAGAAGGCCUUCGGGUUGUAAAGCACUUUUGUCCGGAAAGAAAUCCUUGGCUCUAAUACAGUCGGGGGAUGACGGUACCGGAGGAAUAAGCACCGGCUAACUACGUGCCAGCAGCCGCGGUAAUACGUAGGGUGCAAGCGUUAAUCGGAAUUACUGGGCGUAAAGCGUGCGCAGGCGGUUUGCUAAGACCGAUGUGAAAUCCCCGGGCUCAACCUGGGAACUGCAUUGGUGACUGGCAGGCUAGAGUAUGGCAGAGGGGGGUAGAAUUCCACGUGUAGCAGUGAAAUGCGUAGAGAUGUGGAGGAAUACCGAUGGCGAAGGCAGCCCCCUGGGCCAAUACUGACGCUCAUGCACGAAAGCGUGGGGAGCAAGCAGGAUUAGAUACCCUGGUAGUCCACGCCCUAAAACGAUGUCAACUAGUUGUUGGGGAUUCAUUUCCUUAGUAACGUAGCUAACGCGUGAAGUUGACCGCCUGGGGAGUACGGUCGCAAGAUUAAAACUCAAAUGAAUUGACGGGGUCAUAGCUGUUUCCU
Molecule: ribosomal RNA, 586 nt
Filed under: uncultured bacterium
Lineage: Bacteria
Description: partial 16S ribosomal RNA
Rfam family: Bacterial small subunit ribosomal RNA
Source: RNAcentral